CACCGCCCGUCACGCCAUGGAAGUUGGUGUCGCCUGAAAAGAUCGAGCUAACCGCAAGGAGGCAGAUUUUAAUGGCAGUACCGAUGACUGGGGUG
Molecule: ribosomal RNA, 95 nt
Filed under: uncultured bacterium
Lineage: Bacteria
Description: partial 16S ribosomal RNA
Rfam family: Bacterial small subunit ribosomal RNA
Source: RNAcentral